CCCUGUCAGGACGAACGCUGGCGGCGUGCCUAAUACAUGCAAGUCGAACGAACUCUGGUAUUGAUUGGUGCUUGCAUCAUGAUUUACAUUUGAGUGAGUGGCGAACUGGUGAGUAACACGUGGGAAACCUGCCCAGAAGCGGGGGAUAACACCUGGAAACAGAUGCUAAUACCGCAUAACAACUUGGACCGCAUGGUCCGAGUUUGAAAGAUGGCUUCGGCUAUCACUUUUGGAUGGUCCCGCGGCGUAUUAGCUAGAUGGUGGGGUAACGGCUCACCAUGGCAAUGAUACGUAGCCGACCUGAGAGGGUAAUCGGCCACAUUGGGACUGAGACACGGCCCAAACUCCUACGGGAGGCAGCAGUAGGGAAUCUUCCACAAUGGACGAAAGUCUGAUGGAGCAACGCCGCGUGAGUGAAGAAGGGUUUCGGCUCGUAAAACUCUGUUGUUAAAGAAGAACAUAUCUGAGAGUAACUGUUCAGGUAUUGACGGUAUUUAACCAGAAAGCCACGGCUAACUACGUGCCAGCAGCCGCGGUAAUACGUAGGUGGCAAGCGUUGUCCGGAUUUAUUGGGCGUAAAGCGAGCGCAGGCGGUUUUUUAAGUCUGAUGUGAAAGCCUUCGGCUCAACCGAAGAAGUGCAUCGGAAACUGGGAAACUUGAGUGCAGAAGAGGACAGUGGAACUCCAUGUGUAGCGGUGAAAUGCGUAGAUAUAUGGAAGAACACCAGUGGCGAAGGCGGCUGUCUGGUCUGUAACUGACGCUGAGGCUCGAAAGUAUGGGUAGCAAACAGGAUUAGAUACCCUGGUAGUCCAUACCGUAAACGAUGAAUGCUAAGUGUUGGAGGGUUUCCGCCCUUCAGUGCUGCAGCUAACGCAUUAAGCAUUCCGCCUGGGGAGUACGGCCGCAAGGCUGAAACUCAAAGGAAUUGACGGGGGCCCGCACAAGCGGUGGAGCAUGUGGUUUAAUUCGAAGCUACGCGAAGAACCUUACCAGGUCUUGACAUACUAUGCAAAUCUAAGAGAUUAGACGUUCCCUUCGGGGACAUGGAUACAGGUGGUGCAUGGUUGUCGUCAGCUCGUGUCGUGAGAUGUUGGGUUAAGUCCCGCAACGAGCGCAACCCUUAUUAUCAGUUGCCAGCAUUAAGUUGGGCACUCUGGUGAGACUGCCGGUGACAAACCGGAGGAAGGUGGGGAUGACGUCAAAUCAUCAUGCCCCUUAUGACCUGGGCUACACACGUGCUACAAUGGAUGGUACAACGAGUUGCGAACUCGCGAGAGUAAGCUAAUCUCUUAAAGCCAUUCUCAGUUCGGAUUGUAGGCUGCAACUCGCCUACAUGAAGUCGGAAUCGCUAGUAAUCGCGGAUCAGCAUGCCGCGGUGAAUACGUUCCCGGGCCUUGUACACACCGCCCGUCACACCAUGAGAGUUUGUAACACCCAAAGUCGGUGGGGUAACCUUUUAGGAACCAGCCGCCUAAGGUGGGACAGAUGAUUAGGGUGAA
RNAcentral lists this ribosomal RNA (1500 nucleotides) under Lactiplantibacillus plantarum. Its description in RNAcentral is "bacterial SSU rRNA". It matches the Rfam family "Bacterial small subunit ribosomal RNA". The record is from RNAcentral. Lineage: Bacteria; Bacillati; Bacillota; Bacilli; Lactobacillales; Lactobacillaceae.